Molecule: long non-coding RNA, 1114 nt
Filed under: Homo sapiens (human)
Lineage: Eukaryota; Metazoa; Chordata; Mammalia; Primates; Hominidae
Description: novel transcript
Source: RNAcentral
AGAAUUACUUGAACCUGGGAGACAGAGGUUGCCGUGAGCCAAGAUCUCACCAGUGCAGUACAGCGUGGGUGACAGAGCAAGUAAGUAAAGAGGAGGUUUGGAAUUAGAUAUUUGGUGUAUGAAUGAAUGGGCUAAAGUGCAAAAGAACAGGCAGAAUAACUGAGCUGGUACAGAGGAAAAAAAUCACACUUAAAAUCUAAAAGUAUCUGCUUCUCAAUUUGGGCUUUCCCACUUAGCAGCUUUGACACCUUAGAAAGAACACUUAACUUACCUGAGCUUCUAUUACUUCUAAAAAGUGCAUAAAGUGCAGGCUAAGACAUAGUUUUUUUGGCAAAAUUCAGUCAGACUACAUCAAGUAAACUCCCUAAGUCUCCUAGUAUAAUUCAUGGCACAAAAACUGGGGAAAAAACAGGGAGGAUAUGUUUAUAAGUUCAGUUUGGGUUUUUUGUUGAGUGAAUGUCUCCAGUCAUAGAGAUGCAAGUGUAGAUACACCGUAAGAGUAGUAUGAACAGGAGACACCUUGGAAGGCUAUUUCUUCCUUCAUUCAUUCAGUUGGUCACUCAAUGAACUAUCAUGAAUUGAGCACUACCUCUGUUUCUUAUCAACAAAGGAGACUACGGAAAAGAAGAGUGACUAAGAUCUCUGAAGAAGGGAAAAGCUAGAUGACUGGGCCACAAGAGGAAAAAAAGCAGCAAGACAGCUUGAAUGUGAGGCAACUGUGAAAAGUGCAGGGCAGAGCCACCUGGGUAAAUACAGCCCUGGCUUUCUGGUGAGAGGACUGAAACCAGGAUGUGUCAAGUAACUAGAAUGUGCCUGGACAGAUACUGUAGAAAGCAAACCCAUAAAGUUGUUCAUGAGCUUGUGGACGCACCUGCCAGCUGUGAAUAAGUGGGUCUAAUCCCAAACAACUUACCUAAAAAGAGCCUGAGGACUGAACUAAACAAUGGUCCACUUUCCAGUCCUCACUGACCACUGGUUGCACACACUCCAGAGAUCUCUCAUCCGCAGUGUCAAGGCUUUCAAAUAGAGUUAUCUGUGAAACAACAACACAUGGAAGUCUGGUUGGUACUUGGAGCUUAAAUACAAGGCAAUUGUGUGCCUGCAAAAACAAAAA